This is a non-coding RNA of Monodelphis domestica (gray short-tailed opossum), 3448 nucleotides long. NCBI's taxonomy places the organism in Eukaryota, Metazoa, Chordata, Mammalia, Didelphimorphia, Didelphidae. The record is from RefSeq and is a predicted model, not a curated record.
UUUAAAAGUCUCCAUCUUGGUCUAGCACCCAAAAAUUGUGCACACCCACACUACACGGGCAUGUGCUAGUCAAUGACAAAUCAGAAAUAACUAACUGCCCACCUGGGCUGUCCUAAGCCAAGCUAGAGUCAACCAUUGGAUUUUGUGAGACACAGGAAGUGAGGUAGGGAACAGCCUCUGGAAUUCGCUCACUUCCUGUGGAGAGAGCUAGACGCCAGUUGGUGUUAGGAGCUUGGAGAGGGAGGACGCCCGCAGACAGCUUUCCUUCAGAUCACUCACUUUCUUCCUGUAGUUCAGUGGAAUGAAUAAUGAACCUGGCAUCAGAGGACCUGGAUUCAAAUCCUGAACCACCUGUUUAUUAUCUGUGCAAUCUUGGUUUUCAUGUGAACCCGGUGAGGGUCAGAGCAGUGCUGCUUUUUGGCAGGGGACUUCGUGGUCCUAAGAGGCUUGUCGAAAGAGCGGUCAGGAGACUAUCGGACUGUAGAUACGAUGGCUUUGAGGACGUACGAGAGUGAGAUAGGGGUGCACAAGAGGCUUUGCACAUCCCUCAACCUCAGAAACAAGAUAAGGAAACUGAUACCCUUGAAGAUGAAGCAGCUUCCCCAAGGUCACACAAGCAGGAAGUGUCACCAUUAGGACUUGAUCCCAGGUCCUCUGAUUCUAGAGCCAGUCCCCUUUAGAUUAUCUAGUUCCAACUCUUAAUUUGACAGUUGGGCAAAGGGAGGCCCUACUUUCUCCAGGUCACACAGGUAGUAACUGGCAAAGCCCAGGCUCAAAGCCAUCCCCUGACUCCAAAGUCAGCAUUAUUUUUUUCUUUGCUAUAAUGCCUCUUAGUUUUACAUAUCGGAAAGUUUGAGCUGUGGCGUACUUGUAGCUGUCUGCUGGCGCCUUGGAAGCCCAAGACUCCUGCCACCCUUAACCCAUCUGUGAUUGCUCCGAAAAGGGCAUGGAGUUCACUUAACAAGAGUGUCCCACGGGGAAGAGGCUAAUUCUGCAAUUUGUGGGUGAUCAGACCCUUUGGACUCUCCUCUUUCCUCCUGGUAUUUUGUCCAUUAGAAGGGAUGGCUCUGAGAAAAGAUAUGAGAGGGGGAGGUAAAAACAAUUUGCCCAAUAUGAGAUUUGGGGAUUAUCUAUGGAUUCAAUUAUCCAUGACGUCUCUGUCAACCAUAAGCCAGUGCUGACUCUCUGAGUGGGGAAAGAUCUCAUUUCUGAUGACACCGCUGAGAAACGGAAGGGAUAAUUAGGCUGUCUAUGAAGCUGAAAAAUUGUGAGGGUUACAUUGCCUGGAAAAAUCCAACUGUUUUCAUUUUCAGUAUUUUUUCCCCUUAGACUUUUGUCUACCACUAAUUCAAAUCCUUUUGUUAGUGUAGAUUUUUUGGGGAGGGGGGUAGUACCUAUUAGUAUCUAAAACACCAUUUCCUUAGUGUCCUUAGAAUAAUCCACGGUUUCUUCAUCCUGAUUCAGGCCAAAGGCAGAUGUACGUUCAUCCCUGAAGCUCAACCGAAAUGGCAAUCUUGUUCUGUGCUCAGUAAUUAAAUCAGGUCGUAUACCAGUAUGCCCACUCUGUCUUUCUGUCUAGCUGGUUCAGGAUUAAAAAUGGAUCUUUGUAUUAAAUCGUUAUGUAAAUAAUCUGAGUUGGACCAGUUGUCAGGCCACUGGAUUUAAUAGGACUCAGGAGUUGGAGGUAAGGUAGCGUAGUAGGAAGAGGGUGGGUUUGGGAGUCAGGAAUCUGGAGUGGAAUUUUGGCUGUGCUAUUUCCUGGCUACAUCAUCAUGAACAAAUCAAUAAUAGGAUAUAUAAAUAUGAAAAAAAAUUCUUGCUGAGCCUGUUUCCUUAUCUGAAAAAAAUGCUUAAGGUCUGUCUUACAAAGAUGUGAGCAGUAAUUAAUAUCCCUUAAAAUAUCAUAAGAACAUGAACUAAUGAUGAUAGUAGUGGCAGUGGUGAUGAUGAUGAUGAUGAUGAUGAUAGGCUAAUGCAUUGGAUAGACAGGUAGCAAGACCUGAGUCUGAAUUCAACUUCUGACACUUACUUACUCAGCUACAUGAUCUUGGGCAAGUCAUUUAACCUAUGUUUGUUUUAGUUUUUCUUAUCUGAAAAUGGGACUAGCACCUACCUCCCAGGGUUUUUGUGAUGAAGAAAAGGGAUAAUAUUUGUAAUGCACUUUUCCAACUCUAAAGCACUAUAUAAAUAAAUGUUAGGGUUCUAAUUAUUGUUGCAAAUCCUAGUGUCACAUAAAUGUUAGGUAUGAUAAUGCAAGAAUAGAAACUAUAUGGCAUGUUGCUGUGUUGUUAUUGCUUAGUCAUUUUCAGUCAUGUCUCACUCUUAAUUACUUCUUCUGUUGGGGGUUUUCUUGGCAAAGAUAAUACAAUUAUUUGACUUUUUCUUCUUUAGUUCAUUUUAGAGAUGAGGAAACUCAGACAAAUAGAAUGAAGUGACUUGCCCAGGGUCAUAAAGCUGGUAUACAUUUGAGGCAGGAUUUGAACUCAAGUCUUCUUGAUUCUAGGUCUAACACUCUAUCUACUCUGCCCUUUAUUUGUCACCUUGCUUUAGGUUCCAAAAAUUUAUCAUCUUCAGGCUACCUAGAAAGAUGUGAUCAGGUGGCUCAAUUUAUAUUCUAGAAAAAAGAGCACUGACAUAAAUGCCUGGAGAAUUUUGUUCAGGAGAGCUAAGGUUAGUACCAAGCAAUCAUCAAUAAGCUUGGGCUGAGGAAGAACCAAUGGUACCUAAGGCAGGUCAGUAAGCCCAAGCAUCCCCGAAGAAUUUCCUAUAAUUAAUUCUGCAAUGAUUGAUACUGAGGUACUGUCAACUGGUCAAGUCCAGCCCUCCAUUUGGGUCCUCCAUCUGACUACAUUGGGUCCUGUGACAGCCGGUGUUGGGAGGCUAUUUGGGUGGUUAUUUGCUUUUUCUCAGAUGGUUUGUUUCCAGAGAUGCUCAGAAGUCAGAAAUUGGGAAUUAAAGGCAGUUAUUCUAGCUCAUACCCUAGAUGUAAUUCUGUAGAAGUGUGAGGCUCUGGGCAUUUUCCUUACCAGAGCAGAUAUCUUGUCUUACAAGGAAAGCAGACUUUGCUUCUGGGAUUGCCAGGAUCCUGAUAAAAUCGGUUCCCUUUACCUCUUUAACAUCAGAAGGCUCAACUCUGAAUUAUGGAUUUAAAUGACUCUUCAAUAAAGGACCCCAGUGCCAAUUAAGCAUUGCCUUGAGGCAGUCUGAUUUAACAGUGAGCCAGGAAAACACUCAGAAGCUUCCUUCCAUCAAGCAAGGCCAGAAGGAGUUGGUUUUAAUUAAUCUGUUGCUGGAAACCAGGUACUAGACAUCUCACCCAUGGAUGGAUGGGAGUUAUGCCUUUUUUUCUGUUAGUUUUUAUUUUUUUAAUGAUUGGUUGUAUUUCCUGUGUAUGGGGAUAUACCUUAACAGCAUGGAGACCUACCAUUGACAUUUAUGGAAUCUGAGA